Molecule: ribosomal RNA, 262 nt
Filed under: uncultured bacterium
Lineage: Bacteria
Description: partial small subunit ribosomal RNA
Rfam family: Bacterial small subunit ribosomal RNA
Source: RNAcentral
AGGACGAACGCUGGCGGCGUGCUUAACACAUGCAAGUCGAGCGAGGCCCCUUCCUUCGGGAGGGGAGCCCUAGCGGCGAACGGGUGAGUAACACGUGGGCAAUCUGCCCCUAGCACUGGGAUAACUCCGGGAAACCGGGGCUAAUACCGGAUAUGACCUCCGAGGGCAUCCUCUGGAGGUGGAAAGGAUUCUGGCUAGGGAUGAGCCCGCGGCCUAUCAGCUAGUUGGUGGGGUAAUGGGCCCACCAAGGCGACGACGGGUA